This 170-nucleotide non-coding RNA is filed under the name uncultured Parabacteroides sp. The record is from RNAcentral. Lineage: Bacteria; Pseudomonadati; Bacteroidota; Bacteroidia; Bacteroidales; Tannerellaceae.
UCACAACGGAAUUAAAAGGGAAUCGGGUGUAAAUCCCGGACAGUUCCCGCUGCUGUAAGUUCCUACCCUUAUUUUUAGGGUAAAAAUACUUUAACAAUUUGUGCCACUGACUUUGUAAGUCGGGAAGGCGUUAAAGUAGGAAUAAGUCAGAAGACCUGCCUUUGCAUAUU